This is a long non-coding RNA of Piliocolobus tephrosceles (Ugandan red Colobus), 4897 nucleotides long. The record is from Ensembl. Lineage: Eukaryota; Metazoa; Chordata; Mammalia; Primates; Cercopithecidae.
AAUGACCAGAAAGGAGAGCCAAAAAAAUCUCAAAAAGGAAGUUAUUUUAAUUUUUUUUUUCCGUCCAAUAUAAAUCAUAACAAAACGGAUGAUAGUGGUUUGGAUAAAAAUAUAAAUUCGGAUCAUCCAACUAAUUUAUGUCUCGAUAAGAGUAUAAGCCAUACGGACAAUAUAACGACAGUUAAUACUACUACUACUAGUACUGCCGAAUCAGAUGUUUAUAAAAACAAUUGGAACAUUAGCCUUAUAAAUGAUUUUAUUAAUGCAAUAAUCGAAAGUUUUUUAUUAUAUGUCGAAGAAAUGGAAAACAUACACACAAAUUUGAAACAAAUGAGCAAAGAUUUAUAUGAACCUAAGUUAUACGGUUAUAAUAAUAUAUCGAUAUUUGAUCAUGUUAAACAUGUUAUUAAAGAAAAUGAGCAAUUAGAAAUAGAUAUGUAUAUACAUUUAUAUAAAAUAAGAAAUAAAAAAAAUAAAAAAAAUAAAAAAAAAAAAUAUAAAAUUACAAUGUGUAACAAUUUAUCUUUUUUUUUUUAUGAUCUAUAUAAAAAGUGUAAACAAAAUGAAGGAGAAGAUUUUAUGGUACAGUUAGUUAAUUCGAGUAAAAACAUUGUGUUAUCGGAUAGUGGUUUUAUAGAGGGAAAAAAAAAACCAAAAAGGAAGAAGUUAAAAGUGAAUAAAAAUGAUGGCAAUGAGGCAACUAUGGAGGGCAAAGUUGAGAACGAUAAUGAAGAUAUGAUAUUAAAAAAAGGUGAUAGUGAUAAGGUGGUGAAUGAUGAGGAUGUGAAUGAUAAAGAUCGUACAAUUAAAAAGCGAAGAUAUAACGAUCAUAUAGGUAGUUGUAACAUUAAUAAUGAUAUGUCAAUUGAGGAAAAUGUUGCAAAAAGUUCGUCAGUUAUGAACACACAAACAAAAUUAAACAAACAAAUGAUGAUGAACAAAAAAAUGAUGAUGAACAAAAAAAUGAUGAUGAACAAACAAAUGAUGAUAAACAAAAAAAAUGAAUGCUACGUUAGAAAAAGAUUCACGUUUAUGUAAAAUGGGAAAAGAAACGUAUGAACGUUUUGUCAAGUUAUAUACUACAUCCAAAAUGGAUAUAAAAAAUGUAUGUUUAAAACAUAAUAUUACACAUAAUAAGAAAUAUAAAAAAUAUAAUAAAUAUAAACAAGAUAUAGAUCAAUUAAUUAAAAGUAGCAGUUAUGAUAAUAAAAAAAGAAUAAGAGAUAGAGUAAAAAAACUAUCAUCUUUUAAUAAUUCAUUAUUUACUUAUAUUAGUGAUAAAUUAGUAAAUCAUAUGAAUAAAUUAUUUUGUUUAAAAAAUUAUACACGAAUUUUAAAAGGUGUACAAAACAAUUACUAUAUUGAACAUAUUUAUAAACUAUAUAAAAAUAUGUAUGACAUAAAUAAUAUUGAUAAUAAUAUGAAUAGUAGUGAUGUUUUAAAUAUUGCACAGUUUAUUAUUGAUAUUUUUUUAUUAAAAAAUAUUAAAGAAAAAGAUUAUUUAAAAAAAAAAAUGCAUAAACUUAAAUAUUCUUUGAAAAAUAUUUAUAUGAAUCAUGGUGAAAAUAAUUUAAAUAUACUUUGUAAAAAUAUAAUGAAAAAUGCGUCUACUCAUUUUAAAAAAGGUGGGGUAGAGGAUAAUAUUUUUUAUAAUAACAACAUAUGUCACAAAUCUGAUUCUGAUAUAAGUUUAAGAAAUAAAAAAAGGAAACUAUCACAUAUAAAUAGUGAACAAUAUCAUGAUAAUAAUAAUAAUAAUAUAACGUAUUUAGAUUUGAUGGUAGUAGAUAAAUCGUUAAAAGUGAAAAGUGAUAAUAUAGUUAAUGUUGGUAUUAGUGAAGUUAAAUUGGAUGGGGGUUCACAUGAGAAUAUAAGUGGGACUAGUAACAACUGUAGUAGUGAUUACGCUGUUUUUAGCGACUUUAACAUUUGCAAUAGUAAUAACAGCUUACUAAACAAAAAGAUAUAUGAUAAAAGGAGAGAAAACGAGUAUAACAAUUUAACUACUAACGAAUCUCCAAAUAAGUUUUCAACGAGUUGUACAUUCGAUAUACCACAAAUAGACAAAAUUCAAUCAUUAUGUUAUAAAUACAUGGUAGAGAAAGAACAAUUAAAUGUAAAAAUAGAUAAACAGUAUAUACUUUUUUUUCAUGAUAUACAACAAUUUUAUAAAUAUAUGAAUGUAGUACCUGUACAAAAACAGAUAAGAAAUAAUGUAGAAGAACUUACAUUAAUGGUAUUUUAUUAUUAUUGUAAAUAUAAAAGUUAUACAAUAAAAGAAAUGUGUUUCAGAAUUUUUUUUUUUUUUACUUAUAAUAAUAUUAUAAAUAAAUAUAAUAUAUGUAAUUAUAUAACUUUUUUAAAAUUAUAUAGUAUAUAUUUGUCAGGUGAUCAAUGUAAACAUUUCCGUUUGUUUCACCAUAAUGUGGAAAAAAAAAAAGCUAAAAAAGUUACUGUAUCAGGUGAUAGUAUAACUGUAGAUACUAGUAUGAGCAAACCAAAAUUGAAACAUACACAACAAUAUAACUCAAAAUACGAAUAUAUAAUUUAUUCACAUUUACUUAUGUUAAAAUUGUUAUAUAAAACUUAUUUAAAAGUUUUAAAAAAAAAAUAUACAAUAAAUUAUAUAUUUUUGGAAAAUUUAAUUAAUCAAUCAUUUGUUACCUUAUCGAAUUUAUUAACUAAAUAUAGUUAUGAUAAAUAUCAUAGAAAAGUGAGACCUCAAAUCAUUUUUUUAUUUGUACAAUUUCUGCAUAUAAAUUCAAAGUAUUACUAUGAAAAUUUAACAUUAUUUAUUAAUAAAUAUGAUACAAUGUGUAUAAUGAAGAGAGAGAAAAGUGAGUCUAAUGGUUGUAAAGACAUGUAUAUUGGAGGGGAAGAGAAAAAGGAGUCCUAUUUUUAUGAUUUGAAUGGAGAUGUAAGUACAAACUUUAGAGAAGACACAAAUUCAGACAGGAGCGUUUAUAACACUUGGCCACCAAACGAGUACGUACAAAAUACACUUUAUGAAAACAAAACGAUAAAAAAAUCAACAGGAAGAGUAAAAAAUAAACGAACUAUAGAUAAAGAACAGGUUAUGCAAGAUGUGAGAGAGAUAAAAGAGAUGGAAGAGAUGGAAGAUAUGGACGAGAUGGACGAGAUGGACGAGAUGGACGAGAUGGACGAGAUGGACGAGAUGGAAGAUAUGGACAAGAUGGAAGAUGUGAGAGAGAUGGAAGAGAUGGACGAGAUGGAAGAUAUGGAAGAGAUGGACGAGAUGGAAGAUAUGGACGAGAUGGAAGAGAUGGACGAGAUGGAAGAGAUGGACGAGAUGGAAGAUAUGGACGAGAUGGACAAGAUGGAUGGACAUACACCUAGAAUAGGACCAUAUAAAACAAAAAAUAUAGACAUAAUUAAAAAUGAGUUUAAAAAUAUUGUAAAAAGUGAAGAAUCUAUAAUAAGAAAUAUUGAUAGUGUCAACAGUAACAUUAAUAAUAAUAGUCGUUAUAACACGCAGAAUGUGAAUUAUCCAGUUUGGAAUAUUCUAAUAAAUAUACAGAAUAACAUAAAAAUAGCAUUGGUAUCAUUUUUAAAAUGUUUUUAUAAAUGUAUAUUAAUACUAAAAUUAAAAUUAUACAACAAUUCUUUUAUUGAAGAUAAGGUUUUAAAAAGGAUAAAGCAAAUCACGCAUUACACAUAUAGUCUUUAUAUUUUAUUAAAAAUAAAAAACUAUCCCAUUUGUAAGGAAUUCAAUUUUGUAUUAAAUGAGGUGAAUAAGAAUUUCUUUUACAUUGAUAUAUUUUUGAAUCCAUCCAUUUUCAAAAUAUUGCCGGAGGAUAGCUAUGUUAAAAAUAUAUAUGUAUCUGUUAUGUCGCAUAAUAAAAACAAUGACAAUAUGAGUAAUGUAAAAGAAAAAAAACAAAAAUGGUUUAAAAAUCAUGAGAUGGAUAUUGCUAAUGUAUUAGAUUCUUACCAAAUGACAAAUUAUAUUAAUAAAACACAUGUGAUGUAUGAAAAGGGGAUUGAAGAAGGGAUUGAAAAGGGGAUUGAAAAAAAUGAUAUUACAAAACAAUAUAUGACACUAAUUUAUUAUUACUAUUAUAUAAAAAGUGAAAUAUGUAAAAAAUUAAAGAAUACUAGUAUUCCUAUUUUAUAUUGUAAAGCAAAAAAAAUGGACAAAAAUUUUAAAAAUUCUGUCGAUUAUCUUGAUCUCUUAUUUGAUGCUCGAUUAUACAUGUUAGUAUUAAAUUAUAAAUUACAAAAUAAAAUUAUAACUUUUUUUACUUCAUGUAUCAAUUUUUUAAUGUCACAAUAUUUUGGAGAAAAUAACCAAAGUAACAAAGGGAAAAAACAUAUAUUUUUUACACUUAUUAUUAAGGCAAUGAAAAUAUAUAGUAUAAUUUUUUCUUUUUUUUAUAUACGGUUGAAUUGCUUUUCAGAACAAUCUACAAAUAAUAUAUACAAUGUAUUAAAUAACAAAAUUAAUAUAUAUUCUUAUAAUGAUGAAAUGACACAAACGAUGUUAAAUAUUUUUAAUUUUAUUAAUUUUCGAUAUGGUUGUUCAUAUAAGUUUUUAAAUUAUGUUUAUACUUCUUUUCAUGUCUUUAUUAACGCAUUGGUACAAAUGAACAUGAACAUUUACUUUGAUAGGAAACACAUAGGAACAGUUGAAUAUAGUAAUAAUAGACGAUCAAAUAAAAAAAAAGGUAAUAAUAAAGCGGGUGUGACGAAUCGAACGUGUAAAUCGAAUGCAACAAAUCGAACGUAUAAAUCGAAUGCAACAAAUCGAACGUAUAAAUCGAAUGCAACGAAUCGAACGUAUAAAUCGAAUGCAACGAAUCGAACGUAUAAAUCGAAUGCAACGAAUCGAACGUGUAAAUCGGAUGCAACAAAUCGAACGUGUAAAUCGGAUGCAACG